This 568-nucleotide ribosomal RNA is filed under the name Lactiplantibacillus plantarum. RNAcentral's name for it is "bacterial SSU rRNA". It matches the Rfam family "Bacterial small subunit ribosomal RNA", at positions 394 to 952 of the family's 1533-position model. The record is from RNAcentral. Lineage: Bacteria; Bacillati; Bacillota; Bacilli; Lactobacillales; Lactobacillaceae.
ACGCCGCGUGAGUGAAGAAGGGUUUCGGCUCGUAAAACUCUGUUGUUAAAGAAGAACAUAUCUGAGAGUAACUGUUCAGGUAUUGACGGUAUUUAACCAGAAAGCCACGGCUAACUACGUGCCAGCAGCCGCGGUAAUACGUAGGUGGCAAGCGUUGUCCGGAUUUAUUGGGCGUAAAGCGAGCGCAGGCGGUUUUUUAAGUCUGAUGUGAAAGCCUUCGGCUUAACCGAAGAAGUGCAUCGGAAACUGGGAAACUUGAGUGCAGAAGAGGACAGUGGAACUCCAUGUGUAGCGGUGAAAUGCGUAGAUAUAUGGAAGAACACCAGUGGCGAAGGCGGCUGUCUGGUCUGUAACUGACGCUGAGGCUCGAAAGUAUGGGUAGCAAACAGGAUUAGAUACCCUGGUAGUCCAUACCGUAAACGAUGAAUGCUAAGUGUUGGAGGGUUUCCGCCCUUCAGUGCUGCAGCUAACGCAUUAAGCAUUCCGCCUGGGGAGUACGGCCGCCAAGGCUGAAACUCAAAGGAAUUGACGGGGGCCCGCACAAGCGGUGGAGCAUGUGGUUUAAUUC